UGCCAGUGAUAAACUGGAGGAAGGUGGGGAUGACGUCAAGUCAUCAUGGCCCUUACGAGUAGGGCUACACACGUGCUACAAUGGCGCAUACAAAGAGAAGCGACCUCGCGAGAGCAAGCGGACCUCAUAAAGUGCGUCGUAGUCCGGAUUGGAGUCUGCAACUCGACUCCAUGAAGUCGGAAUCGCUAGUAAUCGUGGAUCAGAAUGCCACGGUGAAUACGUUCCCGGGCCUUGUACACACCGCCCGUCACACCAUGGGAGUGGGUUGC
This 269-nucleotide ribosomal RNA is filed under the name Enterobacter hormaechei. RNAcentral's name for it is "partial 16S ribosomal RNA". It matches the Rfam family "Bacterial small subunit ribosomal RNA", at positions 1150 to 1418 of the family's 1533-position model. Lineage: Bacteria; Pseudomonadati; Pseudomonadota; Gammaproteobacteria; Enterobacterales; Enterobacteriaceae. The record is from RNAcentral.